RNAcentral lists this long non-coding RNA (389 nucleotides) under Actinidia chinensis (golden kiwifruit). Its description in RNAcentral is "long non-coding RNA (ACHI_LNC007968)". Lineage: Eukaryota; Viridiplantae; Streptophyta; Magnoliopsida; Ericales; Actinidiaceae. The record is from RNAcentral.
GUUGUCGGGAAGUAUAACUUGAAGACUUCAGAUUACCCUCCAAUGGGCUGGAGGGGGAGAUUGUUGGAUCCAGCCCAAAUUGGAGGCCAAACCCAAUUGGAACCCAAGCCCAAGAAGAAAGCCCAAGCCCAUUUGUUGCCAAGCCCAAGCCCAUGACCAAUCUUUCUUCUUUCUCUAAAUGAGAAUGGAAAGGAAGAAGAAAGAAAGACAGACAAAGAAGCUGCUGCGGCGCUGCGAAGAAGUCAAGAAUGGAGGCAGGCAGCUAGUCAAGAAUGGAGGCAGAGAAUGGCCGAAAGAAGAGCUGAGAAAGUCUUCUAUUGAGGCUAGAAUUUCUCCUAUAAAUAGGAACCCAGGGAGAAAGGAAAAAAUACGCAGAGAAAUGUAAGGGG